AUCCGUUAUAUGUAUAAUUUUUCUCAAAUACCGUCUGUCACGUGUCCACUCUAUCCAUAGCUUCCGAUCUUAUGAUGAUAGAUUAUUUUAUUUUUUAUUUUUGCUUCGAACCUCCCACCUCUUGCCUCUCAUUCUUUCCCCAUUCUAUUCAUAUAGUUUUCAAACCCAUGCUGCUGACCUCAAGCACCGUCCGUCAAAAAAUAUGAGGUGGGGAGGAGGAGGGGGGGCGAUCAAGAUGGAGGGCAUAAUCGGAGUCGGCAGGAUAGGUACCUUAGAAGUGGGCCCAUAGCUUUUGAAUCCAUGCCGUCUCCAUCAUUGCCGCCAACCUCAAGCACUAUCCACCAAAAAAUACAAGAUGAGGAGGAGGAGAGGGGCACAGUAGAAGGUGGUGUAAACGAGACAAAGGGCACGAUUAAGAUCUCAAUUUCUUCUGCAUGAAUCGUAAAGCAAAAAAAAAUUAAUUUUCUCCCACAUGAAUCGUAAAGCAAAAAAAAAAUCAAUUUUUCCCCACAAAUCGUAAAGCAGAAGAAAAAAAUAUAUAUAUAUUUUUUGAAAUCUCAUGCACUGUGUACGUGAGGUAGGGAAGGAAGAUUCUCCAUAAGAGUCUUCAUCUUCUACAUUUAUGACUGAAAAAAAAAUCUUAGAACAACCAAAUCCUAGAAUCCUAGGUCCAUAAAAAGUCCCCUCCUCUCUUCACCAUUUUAUCCCAAAACUCCAUCAUUAGCGUGAUUUCUUCGAUUCUUUUAAAUUUUUCAUUGAGCAUUUCUUGAUAACUCACCAUUGAUUCUUUAUUAGAGUUGAGGUAAUAGACACUAAGUUCUCUCCUCCUCUUUUUUCUGAUCUCAAUGAUAUUGUUGUAACCUAAAGUUCACCGGCAAUUCACAAAAUUUUGGUGGAAAAUGACUUUUCUUAUUUUUCU
Molecule: long non-coding RNA, 919 nt
Filed under: Elaeis guineensis (African oil palm)
Lineage: Eukaryota; Viridiplantae; Streptophyta; Magnoliopsida; Arecales; Arecaceae
Description: long non-coding RNA (EGUI_LNC022578)
Source: RNAcentral